AGAGCGAACGCUGGCGGCAGGCUUAACACAUGCAAGUCGAGCGCCCCGCAAGGGGAGCGGCAGACGGGAGAGUAACACGUGGGAACGUACCUUUCGGUUCGGAACAACCCAGGGAAACUUGGGCUAAUACCGGAUACGUCCGUAAGGAGAAAGAUUUAUCGCCGAAAGAUCGGCCCGCGUCUGAUUAGCUAGUUGGUGAGGUAACGGCUCACCAAGGCGACGAUCAGUAGCUGGUCUGAGAGGAUGAUCAGCCUCACUGGGACUGAGACACGGCCCAGACUCCUACGGGAGGCAGCAGUGGGGAAUAUUGGACAAUGGGCGCAAGCCUGAUCCAGCCAUGCCGCGUGGGUGAUGAAGGCCCUAGGGUUGUAAAGCCCUUUCGGCGGGAAGAUAAUGACGGUACCCGCAGAAGAAGCCCGGCUAACUUCGCGCCAGCAGCCGC
Molecule: ribosomal RNA, 442 nt
Filed under: uncultured bacterium
Lineage: Bacteria
Description: SSU rRNA
Rfam family: Bacterial small subunit ribosomal RNA
Source: RNAcentral